Molecule: ribosomal RNA, 710 nt
Filed under: Actinomadura sp.
Lineage: Bacteria; Bacillati; Actinomycetota; Actinomycetes; Streptosporangiales; Thermomonosporaceae
Description: bacterial SSU rRNA
Rfam family: Bacterial small subunit ribosomal RNA
Source: RNAcentral
GUACUCGAGCGGCGAACGGGUGAGUAACACGUGAGCAACCUGCCCCUGACUCUGGGAUAAGCCCGGGAAACUGGGUCUAAUACCGGAUGUGACCAGCCUCCGCAUGGAGUGCUGGUGGAAAGUUUUUCGGUUGGGGAUGGGCUCGCGGCCUAUCAGCUUGUUGGUGGGGUGAUGGCCUACCAAGGCGACGACGGGUAACCGGCCUGAGAGGGCGACCGGUCACACUGGGACUGAGACACGGCCCAGACUCCUACGGGAGGCAGCAGUGGGGAAUAUUGCGCAAUGGGCGGAAGCCUGACGCAGCGACGCCGCGUGAGGGAUGACGGCCUUCGGGUUGUAAACCUCUUUCAGCAGGGACGAAGCUAACGUGACGGUACCUGCAGAAGAAGCGCCGGCUAACUACGUGCCAGCAGCCGCGGUAAUACGUAGGGCGCAAGCGUUGUCCGGAAUUAUUGGGCGUAAAGAGCUCGUAGGCGGUUUGUCGCGUCUGUCGUGAAAGCCCACGGCUUAACCGUGGGUCUGCGGUGGAUACGGGCAGACUAGAGGCAGGUAGGGGAGAAUGGAAUUCCCGGUGUAGCGGUGAAAUGCGCAGAUAUCGGGAGGAACACCGGUGGCGAAGGCGGUUCUCUGGGCCUGUACUGACGCUGAGGAGCGAAAGCGUGGGGAGCGAACAGGAUUAGAUACCCUGGUAGUCCACGCCGUAAACGUUG